UACGGGGGGGGCAAGCGUUGUUCGGAAUUACUGGGCGUAAAGGGUUUGUGGGUGGCCGAUUAAGUCAGACGUGAAAUCCCUCAGCUUAACUGGGGAACUGCGUCUGAUACUGGAAGGCUUGAAUCCGGGAGAGGGAUGUGGAAUUCCAGGUGUAGCGGUGAAAUGCGUAGAUAUCUGGAGGAACACCGGUGGCGAAGGCGGCAUCCUGGACCGGUAUUGACGCUGAGGCGCGAAAGCCAGGGGAGCAAACGGG
RNAcentral lists this ribosomal RNA (253 nucleotides) under uncultured bacterium. RNAcentral's name for it is "partial 16S ribosomal RNA". It matches the Rfam family "Bacterial small subunit ribosomal RNA", at positions 524 to 776 of the family's 1533-position model. The record is from RNAcentral.